UGGGUAACCUGCCCCUCUCUCUGGGAUAACCCCGGGAAACCGGAGCUAAUACCGGAUACUCCGGCUGGAUCGCAUGGUCCGGCCGGGAAAGGUCCGCCGGAGAGGGAUGGGCCCGCAGCCUAUCAGCUUGUUGGUGAGGUAACGGCUCACCAAGGCUACGGACGGGUAGCUGGUCUGAGAGGACGACCAGCCACACUGGAACUGAGAUACGGCCAGACUCCGUACGGGAGGCA
RNAcentral lists this ribosomal RNA (233 nucleotides) under uncultured bacterium. RNAcentral describes it as "partial 16S ribosomal RNA". It matches the Rfam family "Bacterial small subunit ribosomal RNA", at positions 118 to 350 of the family's 1533-position model. The record is from RNAcentral.